AGGCAGCAGUGGGGAAUAUUGCACAAUGGGGGAAACCAUGAUGCAGCGUCGCCGCGUGGAGGAAGAAGGUCUUCGGAUUGUAAACUCCUGUUGUUGGGGAAGAUAAUGACGGUACCCAUCAAGGAAGUGACGGCUAACUACGUGCCAGCAGCCGCGGUAAAACGUAGGUCACAAGCGUUGUCCGUGAAUUACUGGGUGUAAAGGGAGCGCAGGCGGGAAGACAAGUUGGAAGUGAAAUAUAUGGGCUCAACCCAUAAACUGCUUUUAAAACUGUUUUUCUUGAGUAGUGCAGAGGUAGGCGGAAUUCCUGGUGUAGCGGUGGAAUGAGUAGAUAUCGGGAGGAACACCAGUGGCGAAGGCGGCGUACUUGGCAUCAACUGUCGCUGAGGCUAGAAAGUGUGGGUAGCAAACAGGAUUAGAUACCUUGGUAGUCCACACCGUAAACGAUGAAUAGAUAGGUGUUGGAGGAUUGACCCCUUCAGUGGCGCAGUUAACACAAUAAGUUAUCCACCUGGGGAGUGCGACCGCAAGGGUGAAACUCAAAAGAAUUGACGGGGGCCCGCACACGCAGUGGAGUAUGUGGUUUAAUUAGGCGCAACGCGAAGCACCUUCCCACGUCUUGACAUCCCUCGGCGAUGCUGGAAACAGUAUUUCUGUUUGGAGCAAGGAGACAGGUGGUGCAUGGUUGUCGUCAGCUCGCGUCGUGAGAUGGUGGGGUAAGUCCCGCAACGAGCGCCACCCUUAUGGUCAGUUACUACGCGAGAGGACUUUGUCCCGACUGCCGUUGGCAAAACGGAGGAAGGUGGGGGGGGCGUCAAAUCAUCCUGCCCCCUAUGACUUGGGGUACCCCCGUACUACAAAGGCGGUAAACAAAGAGAAGCAAGACCGCGAGGGGGAGCAAAACUCAGAAACAACGUCCCAGUUCGGACUGCAGGCUGCAACUCGCCUGCACGAAGUCGGAAUUGCUAGUAAUCGUGGAUCAGCAUGCCACGGUGAAUACAAUCCCGGGCCUUGCACA
RNAcentral lists this ribosomal RNA (1018 nucleotides) under uncultured bacterium. Its description in RNAcentral is "bacterial SSU rRNA". It matches the Rfam family "Bacterial small subunit ribosomal RNA", at positions 346 to 1387 of the family's 1533-position model. The record is from RNAcentral.